AUAUUAAAGUUGUUGCGGUAAAAAAGCUCGUAGUUGGAUUUCUGUUGAGGACGACCGGUCCGCACCAUGUGCGCGCAUCUGGCUCGGCCUCGGCAUCCUCUCGAAAGACGUUUCUGCGCUUGAUUGCGUGGGGCGGAGUUCGAGACUUUUACUUUGAGGAAAUUAGAGUGUUCACGGCAGGCUAUCGCCAGAAUACAUUAGCAUGGAAUAAUACUAUAGGAUCUCGAUUCUAUUUUGUUGGUUUCUAGAAGCGAGAUAAUGAUUAAUAGGGACAAUUGGGGGCAUUCGUAUCAACACGUCAGAGGUGGAAUUCUUGGAUUGUGUUGCGACGAACUACUGCGAAAGCAUUUGCCAAGGAUGUUUUCAUUGAUCAAGAACGAAAGUAAGGGGAUCGAAGACGAUUAGAUACCGUCGUAGUCUUUACCAUAAACUAUGCCAACUAGAGAUGGGGCAUCGUUCACUUACGACUUGCUCCGCACCUUAUGAGAUAUCAAAGUCUUUGGGUUCCGGGGGGAGUAUGGUCGCAAGGCUGAAACUUAAA
Molecule: ribosomal RNA, 541 nt
Filed under: uncultured marine picoplankton
Lineage: Eukaryota
Description: SSU rRNA
Rfam family: Eukaryotic small subunit ribosomal RNA
Source: RNAcentral